This 429-nucleotide ribosomal RNA is filed under the name Bacteroidota bacterium. Its description in RNAcentral is "Bacteroidetes bacterium partial 16S ribosomal RNA". It matches the Rfam family "Bacterial small subunit ribosomal RNA", at positions 355 to 776 of the family's 1533-position model. Lineage: Bacteria; Pseudomonadati; Bacteroidota. The record is from RNAcentral.
UAGGGAAUCUUCGGCAAUGGGGGGAACCCUGACCGAGCAACGCCGCGUGAGUGAAGAAGGUUUUCGGAUCGUAAAGCUCUGUUGUUAAGGAAGAACGAGUGUGAGAAUGGAAAGUUCAUACUGUGACGGUACUUAACCAGAAAGGGACGGCUAACUACGUGCCAGCAGCCGCGGUAAUACGUAGGUCCCGAGCGUUGUCCGGAUUUAUUGGGCGUAAAGCGAGCGCAGGUGGUUAGAUAAGUCUGAAGUUAAAGGCAGUGGCUCAACCAUUGUAGGCUUUGGAAACUGUUUAACUUGAGUGCAGAAGGGGAGAGUGGAAUUCCAUGUGUAGCGGUGAAAUGCGUAGAUAUAUGGGGGAACACCGGUGGCGAAAGCGGCUCUCUGGUCUGUAACUGACGCUGAGGCUCGAAAGCGUGGGGAGCGAACAGG